UAUUAAUCCAGCUACAUAUUGGCUUAAGGAAAGCCAUUUACUACUUUUAUUUCAUGCAUGGAGAUAGAAGACCCACAGGUAGUGCACUUCUUUUCCCGGAGAAGAAGUAGACGAUAUUUGGAGAAUAAGUAUUGGCUAACUCUGUGCUAAUAAUUGCGGUAAUACAGAGAAUGCAAGCAUUCUUCGGAAUGAUUGAGCGUAGAGCGUCCGUAGGGCCCUACAGUCGCCUCCACA
Nicotiana attenuata is the source of this 234-nucleotide ribosomal RNA. It matches the Rfam family "Bacterial small subunit ribosomal RNA". Lineage: Eukaryota; Viridiplantae; Streptophyta; Magnoliopsida; Solanales; Solanaceae. The record is from Rfam.